Molecule: ribosomal RNA, 2337 nt
Filed under: Solanum pimpinellifolium
Lineage: Eukaryota; Viridiplantae; Streptophyta; Magnoliopsida; Solanales; Solanaceae
Description: eukaryotic LSU rRNA
Rfam family: Eukaryotic large subunit ribosomal RNA
Source: RNAcentral
UGGAGCUCGCAUGCGAGUUCUAUCGGGUAAAGCCAAUGAUUAGAGGUUCGGGGGUGUAACGCCCUCGACCUAUUCUCAAACUUUAAAUAGGUAGGAUGGCGCGACUGCUUUGUUGAGCCACGCCACGAAAUCAAGAGCUCCAAGUGUGCCAUUUUUGGUAAGCAGAAUUGGCGAUGUGGGAUGAACCAGAAGCUGGGUUAUGGUGCCAAACUGCUCACUAACCUAGAUCCCACAAAGGGUAUUGGUCGAUUAAGACAGCAGGACGGUGGUCAUGGAAGUCAAAAUCCGCUAAGGAGUGUGUAAUAACUCACCUGCUGAAUCAACUAGCCUCGAAAAUGGAUGGCGCUUAAGCGCGCGAUCUACACCCGGCCGUGGGGCAAAUUCCAGGCCUUGAUGAGUAGGAGGGUGCGACAGUCGCUGCAAAACCUUGGGCAUGAGCCUGGGCGGAGCGUCCAUCGGUGGUAAUAGCAAAUAUUCAAAUGAGAACUUUGAAGGCUGAAGAGAGGAAAUGUUCCAUGUGAACGACACUUGCACAUGGGUUAGUUGAUCCUAAGGGUCGAGGAAACCAUGACAGAUAGCGCAUUUUGCGCGUUCUUCAAAAGGGAAUCGGGUUAAAUCUCCUAAACCAGGACGUGGCAGUUGACGACAAUGUUAGGAAGUUUAGACACAUUAGCGGGAACCUCGGGAAGAUUUAUCUUUUCUUUUUAACAACCUGCCCGCACAGGAAUCGACUCAGCCGGAGGUAGGGUCCAACGGUUGCAAGAGCACCGCACAUCGCAUGGUUUCCGUUGCACUCUCGGGUUCUUGAAAAUCCGAAGGACCUAAUGUCGUCCACGCCUGGUUGUACUCAUAACCACAUCAGGUCUCCAAGGUGAACAACCUAUGGUCGAUAGAACAAUGUAGGCAAAAGAAGUUAGCAAAAUGGAUCCGUAACUUCGGGAAAUGGAUUGGCUUUGAGGGCUGGGGACGGGGGUCCCAGUCCCAAACCCAUCGGCAGUCGAUGGACUGCUCGAGCUGAUCUCGUGAUGAAAACGGGUCACCGCGUGUCAACUAGGGGACGGUCUUGGAAUGGUUCCUUCGGGGUUCUUUCCCGAGCAUCGAACAACCAACUCAGAACUGGUACAACCAAGGGGAAUUCGACUGUUUAAUUAAAACAAAGAAUUUCGAUGAUCCAAACAGAUGUUUACGCAAUGUGAUUUCUUCCCAGUGCUCUGAAUGUCAAAGUGAAGAAAUUCAACCAACCGCGGGUAAACGGCGGGAGUAACUAUGACUCCUUUAAAGUAGCCAAAUUCCUUGUCAUCUAAUUAGUGACGCGCAUGAAUGGAUUAACGAGAUCCCCAAUGUCCCUGUCUACUAUCCAGCGAAACCACAACCAAGGGCGUUGGCUUGGAAAAAUCAGCGGGGAAACAAGCCCCUGUUGAGAUUGACUCUAGUCCGACUUUGUGAAAUGACUUGAAGGUGUAGUAUAAGUGGGAGCCAAAAGGCGAAAGUGAAAUAUCACUACUUUUAAUGUUAUUUUACUUAUUCCGUGGAUCGGAAGCGGGGCACUACCCCUCUUUUUGGACCCAAGGAUCGCUUCACAGGCCGAUCCAGGAUGAAGACAUUUUUAGGUGGGGAGUUUGGAUGGAGCGGCACAUAAGUUAAAAGAUAACACAGGUGUCCUAAGAUGAGCUCAACAAGAACAGAAAAUCUUGUGUGGAACAGAAGGGUAAAAGCUCAUUUGAUUCUGAUUUCCAGUACUAACACGAAUUAUGAAAGUAUGGCCUAACGAUCCUUUAGACCUUUGGAAUUCGAAGCUAGAGGUGUCACAAAAUUUACCAAAGGGAUAACUGGCUUGUGUAAGCCAAGCGUUUAUAGCGAUGUUUCUUUUUUAUCCUUCGAUGUCGACUCUUCCUAUCAUUGUGAAGCAGAAUUCACCAAGUGUUGGAUUGUUCACCUACCAAUAGGGAACGUGAGCUGGGUUUAGACCGUCCUAAGACAAGUUAGUUUUACCCUACUGAUGACAGUGUUGCAAUAGCAAUUCAACCAAGUACUAGAGGAACCAUUGGUUCACACAAUUGGCCAUCGCGCUUGGUUGAAAAACCAGUGGCGCGAAAUAUUACUUAUUAGUGAUGCAAAUCUCCUGCUUAUUUUUAUUGUUGUGGGAAUGAAAUUUUUCAAAAUAGUUUGAUCAAAUUACACGGUUUCUCUUGGAGAUUUGGCAGUUCAUUUUUCUAAUCUCUUAAACCCAUGGACAGAGCUUAUGUAUGGAUAAAUAAGAGUUUCAUCAGUUUCUGUGCGGAAGAACGUUGUAUUGGCACUUUCUCAGAUUAUAUUAAAUGACAUGAUGAUCGAUUU